Molecule: ribosomal RNA, 1554 nt
Filed under: Escherichia coli
Lineage: Bacteria; Pseudomonadati; Pseudomonadota; Gammaproteobacteria; Enterobacterales; Enterobacteriaceae
Also listed under: 1 other name
Description: bacterial SSU rRNA
Rfam family: Bacterial small subunit ribosomal RNA
Source: RNAcentral
AAAUUGAAGAGUUUGAUCAUGGCUCAGAUUGAACGCUGGCGGCAGGCCUAACACAUGCAAGUCGAACGGUAACAGAAAGCAGCUUGCUGCUUUGCUGACGAGUGGCGGACGGGUGAGUAAUGUCUGGGAAACUGCCUGAUGGAGGGGGAUAACUACUGGAAACGGUAGCUAAUACCGCAUAACGUCGCAAGACCAAAGAGGGGGACCUUCGGGCCUCUUGCCAUCGGAUGUGCCCAGAUGGGAUUAGCUAGUAGGUGGGGUAAAGGCUCACCUAGGCGACGAUCCCUAGCUGGUCUGAGAGGAUGACCAGCCACACUGGAACUGAGACACGGUCCAGACUCCUACGGGAGGCAGCAGUGGGGAAUAUUGCACAAUGGGCGCAAGCCUGAUGCAGCCAUGCCGCGUGUAUGAAGAAGGCCUUCGGGUUGUAAAGUACUUUCAGCGGGGAGGAAGGGAGUAAAGUUAAUACCUUUGCUCAUUGACGUUACCCGCAGAAGAAGCACCGGCUAACUCCGUGCCAGCAGCCGCGGUAAUACGGAGGGUGCAAGCGUUAAUCGGAAUUACUGGGCGUAAAGCGCACGCAGGCGGUUUGUUAAGUCAGAUGUGAAAUCCCCGGGCUCAACCUGGGAACUGCAUCUGAUACUGGCAAGCUUGAGUCUCGUAGAGGGGGGUAGAAUUCCAGGUGUAGCGGUGAAAUGCGUAGAGAUCUGGAGGAAUACCGGUGGCGAAGGCGGCCCCCUGGACGAAGACUGACGCUCAGGUGCGAAAGCGUGGGGAGCAAACAGGAUUAGAUACCCUGGUAGUCCACGCCGUAAACGAUGUCGACUUGGAGGUUGUGCCCUUGAGGCGUGGCUUCCGGAGCUAACGCGUUAAGUCGACCGCCUGGGGAGUACGGCCGCAAGGUUAAAACUCAAAUGAAUUGACGGGGGCCCGCACAAGCGGUGGAGCAUGUGGUUUAAUUCGAUGCAACGCGAAGAACCUUACCUGGUCUUGACAUCCACGGAAGUUUUCAGAGAUGAGAAUGUGCCUUCGGGAACCGUGAGACAGGUGCUGCAUGGCUGUCGUCAGCUCGUGUUGUGAAAUGUUGGGUUAAGUCCCGCAACGAGCGCAACCCUUAUCCUUUGUUGCCAGCGGUCCGGCCGGGAACUCAAAGGAGACUGCCAGUGAUAAACUGGAGGAAGGUGGGGAUGACGUCAAGUCAUCAUGGCCCUUACGACCAGGGCUACACACGUGCUACAAUGGCGCAUACAAAGAGAAGCGAUCUCGCGAGAGCAAGCGGACCUCAUAAAGUGCGUCGUAGUCCGGAUUGGAGUCUGCAACUCGACUCCAUGAAGUCGGAAUCGCUAGUAAUCGUGGAUCAGAAUGCCACGGUGAAUACGUUCCCGGGCCUUGUACACACCGCCCGUCACACCAUGGGAGUGGGUUGCAAAAGAAGUAGGUAGCUUAACCUUCGGGAGGGCGCUUACCACUUUGUGAUUCAUGACUGGGGUGAAGUCGUAACAAGGUAACCGUAGGGGAACCUGCGGUUGGAUCACCUCCUUACCUUAAAGAAGC